GGAAAUUCAAAUAUAAUUGGAUGUGAAGCAGCAUAUAUGAAGGGCUUUUUAAAAUAAAAUCAUUUUAUGUUGCAUAAAACGGUACAGUAAAAUUAAUUGCAGUUGGGGGUAUACAGAAAAGAAAAAGUGAGGUGGGGGGGAUCAUCCACUUCGUUGCACGCUAUGUUACAUCACAUGUAGCAUUAGUAUGCUAUAAGCGUAACCAGACAUGUAUACUACUCCACCUCAGUAUCCUGCUUUCAUCAGGUUCUGGGCUAGGUAUCCUGGGGGGUAGUCCUCAAGUGGAUAAAGGUACGCCAUGGGCCCCAUAUCUGAGCGAAUUUGUGUAUCUAUUACUGAUCGAAAAGGUGAUCUCUUCCAUUUGUCUUACAAAUUCCACCCUGUGUGUCCAUUCCCUGACCAUGGGUACUUAGGCCUGUUUCCACAAAACCUGGAUCAGCAGGUUCACUGCCGUCAGUAGGUGGGCUACCAAUGUGGCCAUGUUGGCCUUGAUAUUCGGGAUGGGUGCUAAGAGUAAAAGAUAUUCAGGGGAGAAUGGGAUUUUGGAGGAGAAGAUUGUCUGGAUCAUUGUGUGAAUAAGUUUCCAAAACCUUUGGAUCUCUGGGCAUUGCCACCAUAUGUGAGUCGUGUGAGCAUUGUGUUGGUGGCAUCUCCAGCACUCAUCUGAGGCAUUAUCAUGAAUUUUAUGAAUUUUCGCUGGUGUAUAGUGCCAUCUUGUAAUGCAUUUGUAAUUGCUUUCUUGUGUGCCUAGGUUAGUAGACGAUGUGUAUGCUCUUAGAAAAAUUGCUUUCC
Molecule: non-coding RNA, 792 nt
Organism: Pelobates cultripes (western spadefoot toad)
Lineage: Eukaryota; Metazoa; Chordata; Amphibia; Anura; Pelobatidae
Source: the annotation of a GenBank genome assembly